This 790-nucleotide ribosomal RNA is filed under the name uncultured bacterium. RNAcentral describes it as "bacterial SSU rRNA". It matches the Rfam family "Bacterial small subunit ribosomal RNA", at positions 8 to 796 of the family's 1533-position model. The record is from RNAcentral.
AGAGUUUGAUCAUGGCUCAGGAUGAACGCUAGCGGCAGGCUUAACACAUGCAAGUCGAGGGGUAACAGGUCUUCGGACGCUGACGACCGGCAAACGGGUGCGGAACACGUACACAACAUACCCUUUACUGGGGGAUAGCCCGAAGAAAUUCGGAUUAACACCCCAUAGUAUGAUAGGAAGGCAUCUUCUCUUCAUUAAAAAUUUAUUGGUAAAGGAUUGGUGUGCGUCCCAUUAGAUAGUUGGCGGGGUAACGGCCCACCAAGUCAGCGAUGGGUAGCUGGUGUGAGAGCACGACCAGCCACACGGGCACUGAGACACGGGCCCGACUCCUACGGGAGGCAGCAGUGAGGAAUAUUGGUCAAUGGACGCAAGUCUGAACCAGCCAUGCCGCGUGGAGGAUGACAGCCUUCUGGGUUGUAAACUUCUUUUAUAUGGGAAGAACAGCACGGUUUCUACUGUGUCCGACGGUACCAUAUGAAUAAGCACCGGCUAACUCCGUGCCAGCAGCCGCGGUAAUACGGAGGGUGCAAGCGUUAUCCGGAUUUACUGGGUUUAAAGGGUGUGUAGGCGGAUAUUUAAGUCAGAGGUGAAAUCUCCGGGCUCAACCCGGAAACUGCCUUUGAUACUAUUUAUCUUGAAUUUCGUUGAGGUUGGCGGAAUAUAUCAUGUAGCGGGUGAAAUGCAUAGAUAUGAUAUAGAACACCGAUUGCGUAGGCAGCUGGCUGAACGAACAUUGACGCUGAGGCACGAAAGCGUGGGUAGCGAACAGGAUUAGAUACCCUAGUAGUCC